This 2177-nucleotide long non-coding RNA is filed under the name Mus musculus (house mouse). Its description in RNAcentral is "long non-coding RNA chr12:98869333-98871510". The record is from RNAcentral. Lineage: Eukaryota; Metazoa; Chordata; Mammalia; Rodentia; Muridae.
UAUGUUGGAAGAGAGGGAACUGUCUUCAGUUAUGUAGCCACUAAUGGCCCCAGUGGACUCCAGUAGAGUUCCAAACUCAUAGUCACACAGAAGGCCCUGGUUACUCUCAGUGCUCAGAAAACAAAGCAAAACGUUCUGAGUGUGGGAAAGAGACUUAUAGAGAUGACGAAGGGUUGAUGGAGGUGGAAGGAAGCUAAACAGGGUAGGGAACGAGAGUAAGCAAUUCACUGUGCAUGUGUACGGACUUGUCAAAGUACAGCUUUAAUUACUACAACCACAUGGAUCUCAAUCCCAGCAGUGGGGACGGCUCUGAGGUGGUAAGGAGGGCUGCUCCACUCUAUUCCAUCAGUCAGGCAAGGAGAUGGAAAAGCCCACACUAGAGCGUGACAGGAAAGUUGGAAGGAAGGAAAUAAACUUGACAGCUUCUGUGGAAGUGACUCUUAAAGAGAGGCAAAGUACAAAUGAAUAAAUCAUUUCUGGCCUGGGCAACUGAGUUUACUGAGCUGGAGCCGAAAAGGUUUCAUAAACACUGCUCGGUGAGUAUGUUGUGGCUCUUCAGCACUGCUUCCUAAUGCCUGCACAGGACAGAAUGAAUGAAUCUACCUGUAAUUCAACAUCAACUAGAAACAGUUUAAACAUUGUUUGUUCGUUUGUUUGUUUGUUUCUUUGCUUAAGACAAGAUCUCCCUAUGUAGCGUUGGCUGGCCUAGAACUCAUUAGGCAGGCCAGACUGGCUUUGAACCUAGCAAUUCGACUGCCUGUUUCCUGACUGCUGGGAUGAAAGGCAUGUGUCACUGUGCCCAGCUUUUUAAUACAUUCCUUAAGCAUUUUUAACUACACACAUAAAAGGACAUAGGUAUUUUGUCAAAGAUACAAACAUGGAAACAAACACCCUGCUCAGCCACCUCUCUGAGUCCUGAGUUUGCUUAAUAACAAAGGAUUGAGACUGAAAACAAUUCUACUGACAGGAGGAGUCAGGGUCCCUGGCUGUCACUCACAGCUUAGUCAGCACUGUAGUAAGAAGUAUUCUUCUUUUAAAUAUAAGAUUUCUUUUUUAUGUGUAUGUGUGUGUACGAUUGCUUGAGGUUUGUGUACAACAUUUGUGCAGGAGCAGGCAGAAGGCAGAAGACAGAAGACCAAGUCAAAUGUGAGUUCUGGGAGCCAAAUCCAGUUCCUUUGCAAGAACAGCACAUCUCUUAGUCACUGAGUCAUCUCUCCAACCUGUUUGCUAAGCAUUCUUAAUGCCCCAAGAUAAAAGUUCUUGAGUUUAAUUUUUCAACAAAACUAUUUUUAUAAGUAUAUUCAUUUAAUGAAACUAAAACUUGGAGCACAUAUAAAAGAAGGAAAGAAAGGAUAGGUGGCUAAGAGCAACGAGUACUAUACACAUUAACAAAACAAGAAAUCACUGUUUCUGCUUCUACUCUAAUCGCAUACCUCACUCUAAGGACAGUGAACGACCCAUCCUUCAUUCCAAGGGCAAGAUGAAUUCCAUCUACAUUUACAGCAGCACACCGAAUUGGCUCUUCCAUAUUACAUCUUGCUAUUAAAGCAUGAUCUACAAGGCUCCAAAUCCUGUAUAAUUUAAUUCAAAAAUAAAAAUAAUUAAUGUCUACUGUAAAAAUUAUCUCUGUAAGAAUAUUUCAAGAUAAAAUAAUCUAAUUUAAAGGAAGACAUUUGUCUCUAUGAAAACAGCAAUAUUACUUAUGAUUAAAAUGAAAGAGUAUCAGAUUUUUUUUGUUUUUAAAGUAAUAUAGCAGGGAUGGCAAGAUGGUUCCAAAGGUAAAAGUGCUUGUAGCCCAGUCCCCAAAACCCAUAAUGGAAGGAGAGAGGCAGCUUCCCAAAGUAGUCCUGACUUCCGUGCAUGUCACGGCACUCACAAACCCACAUGCCUGCUCUCACAUACACAGCCAGGAACAGUUUGUUGUUGUUGUUUUUUAAAUAUAAAAACAUACUGACAUCACUAUGACCCAAUUGUUAAUCUGAAAUAGGUUAGUAAUCUCUACCCUAAUCAAAAAAGAGCUAUUUCCUUAAAUUAUAUAUGUAAGACUGGGCAUGGUAUUAUAUGCCUUUAAGCCCAGCAUUAGAGAGGCAGAGGCAGGCAGAUCUCUGAGUUGGUGGCCAGCCUGAUCUACAAACAAGUGCCAGGUCAGCCAGAGUUACAUAGUGAGACCCUUUCGC